AUGGCAAGCCAUUAGUAUGGCAAGCCAUCAGUGCCAAAAAUCGCCACUUUUCUAACCCGUUUGGUUAAUAAAUGGCGUAAAAAAAUGCCGUUUAAUCAUUCCAAACGCCGAAAAAAACGGUGUUCUGUUCCGACAAACGCCAUGCCCUGAACGCACCAUCCAAGUGACGUAAAAAGCGGCGUUCAAAGACAGACGGAAACGCCGUUUUUUCCGCCAUUCGGCAGAAAACGCGGUUCAAAGAAGCAUAAAAACUGCGUUUUUUACGGCGUUCUGUGCCAGCUGUAACGGCGUUUAAAAUGGCGUUUUAUUGAAAUUAUGCAGGGCACUCCCCAUGGUCCCCUUAUCCAAUUACUUUCAACUCAUUUCACCCAAUCAAAGAAGAGGAAGUGCAGACCACACUAAUGCAUCACCGAUUCACCUUGCUGCUAAGCGAUUGCCUAUUCAGUACCAGUGCUUGUCACAGUAUUGACUUGUAUUAUAAUCCCACUAUGCAUUUUGAUGUGUUUAAGGCAUGAUCAAGCAAACAAACGACAGAAUACUUUUUCUGAAACCUUAACUGUGUUACCUGUUAUGGCAGCUUUCUUAUUUUCCUCUUUACUUCUCUUAACCUUUAACUUAUGUCUUAGCAAUCAGAUUCUGCCAUCAUGCGUUACCACUUCGUGCUAGUUAUGUUGACUUUUCUCUUCUUUUGUCUCCACUUUUUUCACCCGUAUUUGGACACUCGGCGCAUGGCUCUUUUGUUUACGUUAGGGAUCAGCUGUUAGCGCUGCGCCCUGCAGCUGCGCUACCGGCAGACAGACCCUACGUCCCCAGUGAGGGAAGAGACAUGGGUGAUGUCUCCCGAGAAGGACACCUUACACACCAUCUCUCCUUCCUGUAAUCACUGUAAAUGUGAGAUCGCUCCCUGAUAUGAUCGAGGAGCUAAUGACACUAACCCGGUCACAGUGGCAGUACCCCAACACUGCCCGGUACUCCCUCUGUGAGUAGGCUGCCCGGCUUCCAGCUGCUGCGGGCGGACAAGACGAGAGACAGCGGUGAGAGGAAAGGAGGGGGGGUGGCAGUGUUUGUUAAAGACAGUUGUGGUAUCCCUGGGCACAUCGCUGUGAAAGAACAACUCUGCAACACAGACAUUGAGACAUUAGCCGUUAGCAUCCGUGGAGGCAGCCUGUGACUCUCUGUGGUCCGCAGACUGCAAACGCAAUCUCCGAGAGCUCUUCUUCUAGUAUCAGGGGACUUUAAUCAUGUCUCGCUGGACUCCACACUGCCCACCUUCACCCAGUAUGUGACCUGCCCCACCGUAGGCAAUAAAACAUUGUACUUAAUGUAUGCCAAUGAAAAAGUGGCAUACAGUUCAUCACCUCUCCCUGCCCAGGGAAGAUCUGAUCGUAACCUAGUUGUAACCUUGUCCCUGUGUGCAGCCCUUAGUGUGCACGGAGCCACUAAUCACCCAUGCAGUGCAGAGAUGGUCCGUGGAGGGCAUAUAAAUAAAUAAUAAAAGCAAAUAAAUGACAGAAUUCUUUUUUUAAACAAGUGGAGACAUUAACUUUGAUCAAAAUCCUUUUGUGUUCAGUUUAAAUUAAUACCACUGUAUAAUAGCCUUCAAAAUUAAUAAUGUUAACAGUAUCUCAGGAAUAUUUUUGCCCUUUCAACAUGCAUUAAAAAAACAGAUAUGCAGUUUUGAAUAAGACCUGUAUGUACGUUUUCUGAAAAGUGAUGUAAAUAAAUAAUCUCAAAAACAUGAAAUAAUAGUUUCCCAUGUAAACUGGAGAUGUCCUUGUCAAUGUCAUCAGAGUACUCUGGAUGUCUUAAACGAAUUUGAAACAUAAAACCAGAGAGUGACACAUGACAUCCGAUACAUGAGCUGCCUCAUGUUGCUUCCAGGUGGGGAAAGAAUGAAAAGAUAAACCAUUUUCAACCUUAUUCCCUUGCCGGUCGUGCGAUCUAACUUUACAACCAACCGCACAGCAAGUACGAACCAUAGCUGGUGUUAUCCGUGUACUUUUGCUCCUCUUUUGCUAGCGCUUUGUUUGGCCCAGAAACAUGGCGCCUCAACCAAAAAUCCAGGCCACGCCCCCUCUCGUAACAUCACGCUCCAAAAGCCCUAUUAGGCUAAUCGUUGUGUCACUUCUGGUAUUUCAGACAAUCCCUUUCCGUCAAGGAUUUUUAAUUUGUUGUGGGAUUUUUUAAUUUGUUGUGGGUUUUUUAAUUUGUUGUGGGUUUUUGUAAUUUGUUGUGAGGUUUUUUAAUUUGUUGCGGGUUUUUUAAAUUUGUUGCGGGUUUUUAAUUUGUUGUGGUUUUUUAAUCUGUUGCAACUUGCACUUCCCAGCCACCGUAAGAAAAGGAGUCAGCGUCCAGAUGCAGUGCAAACUUUGUUUGACCUCUACAGUCAUUUCAGCUUACAAGACUUCGGCGUUUAAUCUAAAAAAACACAUUGAGAGGAAACAUCCAUCGAAGAUUGAGCAGUACAAUAUCACUGUGGCAUCAACAUCUCGUCAGCGAAAGACCACAGCCACACCAAACAAGCUCUCAGCAAAUACACAAGCCAAGUUACCAGACCUGAUGUUGAGAGCUGCAAACAAACAUGUUCCACAAGCAACUGUUGACAAGCUUGAUAUCAAUUUCAUAUGUGAGGGUCUACAGCCAUUUGCAGUGGUAGAACAGCCAUCUUUCAAAGAAUUGGUUACCACAUUACAACCUCAAGCCAAAGUCAUCUCCAGACCCACUGUCCGUGCCAGAAUCUGUGAAGCUGCUGAUCACAUGAAGAUGACUUUGGUUGCAGCAUUGGAUAAAGUCAAAUUUGUUGCUACCACUACUGAUUGUUGGUCAGCUCAUCAGAAAAGUUACAGCAUGAAUGACACCUACAAGAGGCUCUCCCGUGCAACCUUUGCAAAAUGCCAGGCCAUUUGGAACAAAACUGGCCGGUCUCAUUUGGCUAAUGAAGUGGUAGAGGACAAGUGUUGUGUCUAAACUCAGACCCCGCUGUAUCCAGGACUUAUUCCCAUGAAAGAAAAACAAGGCAACAGCGAUUGAUUACUUGCGCAAGGGAGGCCUCAUUGGUAUCUUAGCUCAUCACGAAUGACCCCGACGAUGGCCUCCUCUCGCUGCCUUUUAUUGAGAGACAGUUCACACAAAACAAUAGUACCUCCCCUCAUAAACCCCCUUGGUUACAAAGACAAGGCACUGUAUGCAUAUGUGUGUGUGUGUGUGUGUGUGUGUGUGUGUGUGUGUGACCUCCUGCUGGGCAGGAAGCUUACAUCAAAAAGACCUUCACAUGGAUGUUGCCUGUAAUAAAAGACUACAGCCCCCCACCCAGAACCUCGAGAAUCUAGGGAGGGGGACAGUGGAAUUCCUUUCAUCCUACAGUUAAACAAUGUAGAAAUGGAUGGUAAGCAUAAAAAUGACAAACAUUUAACAAUUCAUUCUAACAACAAGUGUGAGCUACAGAUCAUUCGUCCCAAUGCAACACGGUGGAAUUCAACCUACCUUGCCAUCGAAAGGAUAAUACGCAAAAUGGCCUUCAAAAGCGUUUUGGACUGAUGAUAGAGGAUCCAGAGUUGGCUGCAGCUGCAGUCCUCUUACCCAAGUUCAAGACUUCCUGGACUGACAGAGCAGAUGUAAUAGAGGCUGCCUUGGCAUACAUUAAACAACAUCUUGAAACGACGGAGCAUGAGAGUGAGGAUCAGCAAAGAGAGUCAUCUGAUGAAGAUGAAUUCUUCUCCAGACCAAUCUCCAGAAGGCUGCAAAGUGCAGCUGAGCUUGAUGGUUAUCUUGCUUGUGCCACAGACACCAUGGAGCUGCUGCACUCCUUCUCAGC
This is a long non-coding RNA of Oreochromis aureus, 3814 nucleotides long. RefSeq lists it as uncharacterized. The transcript has 3 exons. Lineage: Eukaryota; Metazoa; Chordata; Actinopteri; Cichliformes; Cichlidae. The record is from RefSeq and is a predicted model, not a curated record.